CGGCAUGCCUUACACAUGCAAGUCGAACGGCAGCACGGGAGCAAUCCUGGUGGCGAGUGGCGAACGGGUGAGUAAUAUAUCGGAACGUGCCCGGUCGUGGGGGAUAACGUAGCGAAAGCUACGCUAAUACCGCAUACGAUCUACGGAUGAAAGCGGGGGAUCGCAAGACCUCGCGCGAUUGGAGCGGCCGAUAUCAGAUUAGGUAGUUGGUGAGGUAAAGGCUCACCAAGCCGACGAUCUGUAGCUGGUCUGAGAGGACGACCAGCCACACUGGGACUGAGACACGGCCCAGACUCCUACGGGAGGCAGCAGUGGGGAAUUCUGGACAAUGGGCGCAAGCCUGAUCCAGCAAUGCCGCGUGCAGGAUGAAGGCCUUCGGGUUGUAAACUGCUUUUGUACGGAACGAAACGGUGAGCUCUAAUACAGUUUGCUAAUGACGGUACCGUAAGAAUAAGCACCGGCUAACUACGUG
This 472-nucleotide ribosomal RNA is filed under the name uncultured bacterium. RNAcentral's name for it is "bacterial SSU rRNA". It matches the Rfam family "Bacterial small subunit ribosomal RNA", at positions 40 to 507 of the family's 1533-position model. The record is from RNAcentral.